This 1194-nucleotide long non-coding RNA is filed under the name Homo sapiens (human). Its description in RNAcentral is "HSALNT0352240". The record is from RNAcentral. Lineage: Eukaryota; Metazoa; Chordata; Mammalia; Primates; Hominidae.
GAGGCUUGGCAGAGCAGGAGCCCUCGGUGGCAGUGCUUGGGUGUCGAGGCUCUGAGGCUCCGGCCUCACCUCUCCACGGGGUCGAAGGGAACGUCUCCGGAUGCCAGGAGUCGCAAAGGGCCGACCAUGAUGAUGAAACCCCAGGCAGAGACGGGGGAAGCAGCACGGGAUCCCAGCCUCAGGCCUGCACGGACGGUGUUGGUUGGGAGACGAGGUCUCACUAUAUUGACCAGGCUGGUCUUGAACUCCUGGCCUUAAGCGAUCCUCCUGCCUUGGCCUCCCAAAGUGCUGGAGUUACAGAUGUGAGCCUCUGUGCUCAGUCCAUCCUUGGCUGUUCAAGUGUAGAGCCUGAAGAGCUUCCUUUAGGAUUUCUUGUGAGACAAGUCAGCUUUUAUUUGUCUGGAAAAGUCUUUAUCUCACUUUUAUUUGUGAAGAACUGCUUUGGCAGAGAGUUCUCCCAGUCUCCUGGAUCACACUGGUCGGAAAGCUGUUUGGUAGACAACCUUCGAGUCUUUCUGCCUUCAUACUGUGGGUAUACCGUUCUCCCAACUGAAAACCCGUUUAUUUUCUUAUCUGUCUACUCAAAGCCUAACCAACACCAAAUGGCCUAGAAAUGCCACGUACCUACCAGUUGCCUCUUUCCUCCUCCAGCCCUUGUGAAUGUGAAUUCACAUCUCUGUUCUCUGUGUUCCUUGGCCACUUAGUACCAUUCACAAUAUCUCUCAUAGCUAGCUCUCUGCCUUAGGGCUGGCCCAUGGGACUAAAAUUCCUUGUGGUAGGUAUUUUUUUUUCAUAUUUCUAUUCUUAUAGCAUCUAGCAUAGAACAAACAGCCUAGUAUCUAGUGGGUAUCCAAUAACAACUUAUGCAGGUGAUUAGGCAAGAAAAAGAAAUAAAGCCUAUUCAAAUUGGAAAGGUGGAAGUCAAAUUGUCCCUAUUUGCUGGCAACAUAAUCUUAUAUAUAGAAGAACUUAAACACUCUGCCAAAAAUCCAUUAGAUGUGAUAAACAAUUCAGUAAGGUUGUAUUGUAUGUAUCAAAACAUCCCUAUGUAACCCAUAGAGAUGUAUAAUUAUUUUAUGUUGAUCAAAAAUAAAAUAAUAAAAGCUCUUAAUAAAACAGUCAUCUCUUUCAGAAUUCAUGGUUACCAUUGCCUCUAGUAUUAUUUGUCAAUUAAAAAAUAAAAUUUAAAAAGAA